Molecule: transfer RNA, 70 nt
Filed under: Marmota marmota marmota (Alpine marmot)
Lineage: Eukaryota; Metazoa; Chordata; Mammalia; Rodentia; Sciuridae
Also listed under: 1 other name
Rfam family: tRNA
About the family: Transfer RNA (tRNA) molecules are approximately 80 nucleotides in length. Their secondary structure includes four short double-helical elements and three loops (D, anti-codon, and T loops).
Source: Rfam by way of RNAcentral
GUGGUGGUAGCUCAGUGGUAGAGUGCUUGCCUAGCACAUAUGAAUCAUAGGUUUGAUCCUCAGCACCACA